GCAAGUCGAGGGGUAACAUUGGUGCUUGCAUCAGAUGACGACCGGCGCACGGGUGCGUAACGCGUAUAGAACCUACCUUUUACAGGAGAAUAGCCUUUAGAAAUGAAGAUUAAUGCUCCAUAGUAUUAAGAAAUCGCAUGAUUACUUAAUUAAAGAUUUAUCGGUAAAAGAUGGCUAUGCGUCCUAUUAGUUAGUUGGUAAGUUAAUGGCUUACCAAGACAGCGAUAGGUAGGGGUCCUGAGAGGGAGAUC
Molecule: ribosomal RNA, 251 nt
Filed under: uncultured bacterium
Lineage: Bacteria
Description: partial 16S ribosomal RNA
Rfam family: Bacterial small subunit ribosomal RNA
Source: RNAcentral